AUUGAACGCUGGCGGCAGGCCUAACACAUGCAAGUCGAGCGGAUGAAGGGAGCUUGCUCCUGGAUUCAGCGGCGGACGGGUGAGUAAUGCCUAGGAAUCUGCCUGGUAGUGGGGGAUAACGUCCGGAAACGGGCGCUAAUACCGCAUACGUCCUGAGGGAGAAAGUGGGGGAUCUUCGGACCUCACGCUAUCAGAUGAGCCUAGGUCGGAUUAGCUAGUUGGUGGGGUAAAGGCCUACCAAGGCGACGAUCCGUAACUGGUCUGAGAGGAUGAUCAGUCACACGGGAACUGAGACCCGGUCCAGCCUCCUACGGGGGGCAGCAGUGGGGAAUUUUGGACAAUGGGCGAAAGCCUGAUCCAGCCAUGCCGCGUGUGUGAAGAAGGUCUUCGGUUUGUAAAGCACUUUAAGUUGGGGGGAAGGGCAGUAAGUUAAUACCUUGCUUUUUUGACUUUACCAACAGAAUAAGCCCCGGCUAACUUCGU
RNAcentral lists this ribosomal RNA (483 nucleotides) under uncultured bacterium. Its description in RNAcentral is "partial 16S ribosomal RNA". It matches the Rfam family "Bacterial small subunit ribosomal RNA", at positions 30 to 506 of the family's 1533-position model. The record is from RNAcentral.